UUGCAGACAGUUAUCUCUGACUGAGCUGACGUGCUCUGUGAGGGAGUCAGUCUGCUACAGCAACUUUCAGGCUUGAGCAUCUUCUCUUUGGGCGUGUCCUCUUUGAGCUGCCGCUCACCUGAGAACAGUGA
This 131-nucleotide small nucleolar RNA is filed under the name Monopterus albus (swamp eel). RNAcentral describes it as "Small nucleolar RNA SNORA56 (ENSMALG00000009479.1)". Lineage: Eukaryota; Metazoa; Chordata; Actinopteri; Synbranchiformes; Synbranchidae. The record is from RNAcentral.